This 73-nucleotide transfer RNA is filed under the name Bradyrhizobium sp. Its description in RNAcentral is "tRNA-Ala". It matches the Rfam family "tRNA". From Rfam's summary of the family: Transfer RNA (tRNA) molecules are approximately 80 nucleotides in length. Their secondary structure includes four short double-helical elements and three loops (D, anti-codon, and T loops). Further hydrogen bonds mediate the characteristic L-shaped molecular structure. tRNAs have two regions of fundamental functional importance: the anti-codon, which is responsible for specific mRNA codon recognition, and the 3' end, to which the tRNAs corresponding amino acid is attached (by aminoacyl-tRNA synthetases). tRNAs cope with the degeneracy of the genetic code in two manners: having more than one tRNA (with a specific anti-codon) for a particular amino acid; and 'wobble' base-pairing, i.e. permitting non-standard base-pairing at the 3rd anti-codon position. The record is from RNAcentral. Lineage: Bacteria; Pseudomonadati; Pseudomonadota; Alphaproteobacteria; Hyphomicrobiales; Nitrobacteraceae. RNAcentral also lists the same sequence under 8 other names.
GGGGCGUUAGCUCAGCUGGGAGAGCGCCUGGUUUGCAACCAGGAGGUCGCAGGUUCGAUCCCUGUACGCUCCA